CUCUUUAACCUUCAUUCUCCUCAACAAACUCACAAACAAAUUUAAUACCAAAUUACACAUACAAAUUUCGUUACAGCCUUCUUUCCACAUCCAAAACGGUUCUGAAACCUGAGAUUCGGAAUAAAACACAAGGUCCGCAUCAUGAAAUAUAAGAAGGGAAGUAUCGUGGAGGUGUUAACCACAAACGAGCUUCCUUACCAUUCUUGGCGUUGUGCUAAGAUAGUUUCCCGUAAUAGGCAGGACUACACUGUUAGAUAUAAUGUGUAUCCUGGUUUUACUAACCAGGAGAUAGUAGAAUGUGUGUCCACAAAAUUUCUUAGACCAUGUCCCCCAAUAGUAGAAUUUUCAGAAUGUAGGCCUGGCGAUGUUGUGGAAGUGUUUCACGAGCUUUCGUGGAAGAUGGCAGUUGUUUCCAAGGCUUUUAGCGAGGACUUGUUUCUAGUCAGAUUUGUUGGAUCAGUUAUAGAGUUUGAAGCAACCAAAUCAGAAAUCCGUGUGCGACAAUCUUGGCAAAAUGAUGAAUGGGUAGUAAUUGGCAAGGUUCAAAUACUUAGCAAAGAUGGACAGUCCAACAAGUUAGCUGAAGCAAAGGGGGCUGUCAAAGGAGAUUCCUACAUGAAAAGUAUCCAGUUUGGUGCUAAGAAUGAAAAUUUACAGGAAUCACAUAUUGUUUCAGCAAGAACCCUGAAGCGGGGGUCACCCUACUGUCUUUCUCAAGAUGAGGUGAAUGAAGGAACGGGCCAGAAAGUUAAAAUCACCCAAAGAGAAGGUAAACGCCUCCGAGUGCUGAUCAAAUCACCUGAAAAAGUAAAUGUUCCUAACUCUAUAGAAAUGCCCUCUGAAGAUUGCAUAUACACAUACUUCCACAACCGAGCAGCUCCCUUGUAUGCAGCUGAUGUGGAGAGGGAAUAUCUAAGUGGUGGGUAUAGAAAAAGAAAUGAUGAUGAUGAUGAUACUGUUACGUGUUCUGUUGGUAGUUGCAGUAUUAACAGCUAUAGUGGGUAUGAUAUUGAGGAUCAUGAAAGUCAUGAUAGUGAUGCAGAGUCUUUUUGUCAAGAAGGAUAUCUUGACUUCUCUUUAUGCAACAAGGAAGUUGCAGCAAAAAUACACAGACUAGAGUUGCAAGCAUAUCGUUCUACUAUUGAGGCCUUACAUGCAUCAGGGCCCUUAACUUGGGAAAAAGAAACAAUGGCCCAAAGUUUGAGGCUUGUACUUUGAAUGUAUAAGUUGGUGUUGGGUGUGCCACAUUCUCUUGGCAUGGGAUGAUGGGGCAUGAGCAGAAUCAGAUCUGCUACAAGUAGCUGAUCCGCCUCUCGUGCCAUGAAUAUACUGUCAUGAUGUGGUAUAGUUAUCGUCUGUUUCUAAGCUUCAAGUUUGUUUACUUGAAGGAUGCAGGUAGAGAAGACUUGGUUUUUACUUGGCAUGUUUUAGCUAAUAAUAAUUUAAGCUUAGAGUUUGCUUCUGCCUUUUGUUAUUUGAAGUGAUUUGCCCACGGGAAAAAAUAAUUUACACACGUAAGGUACAAUAUUUUGAAGCUGCUGAAUGUGUAUGCAUUAUUUUUUUUUCCCGUAGAAAAUAUUAACUCCCAUUUUUUGUUCCAUCCAAGAGCAUCAAAUAUCAUUUUGCAAAUGAUCUGCAAAUGGAGUCCUCUAGAUGUUAUACAAUGAUUUCAAGAUGAAAAUUUGAUUUAGAAUUCUCUGUAAGAUGGAAAUUCUUCUAAAAGUUUUAGUAUUAUAAUAUGACCUUACGAUAAGGUUAUUAACUAUGUACCAGAGUUUGUUGAGUCAAUAUGGCCUACACCUUAAUAGUAGGUCAUAGUGGUUGCUUGAUGUGCAGGUUGGGGGACACGCUUGGGCUUGGCUUGAACUAUUCAUCCUUAGUAAUGGUUGACCAUCAGAAAAUUUCUACUGUCUCAUUUAGUCAUUUUAUAAAUAAUGAAUGCCUUUAUUAUUAUGAUCAUAAAAAUGUAUAACAAUUAUGUUGAUUUACGAGUAAGACUAUAGGGGAUUUUAUGGAUUAAAACUAGACUUUGAGUGGGUUUCACCCGUUUGACCAUCCUUCAUCGGGAUGGACCAACCAAGGCGAAUUGAAGAUCCAUGUUCUUGGCUUCCUAGUUGUAUCUCUGCUCGAUCUUGAUUUAGAAUUGUUUGAAUGUGCACUUGGCUUCUUUUUAGUGCGCUUCACUAAGCUUCUGCUUCAGAUUUGAAAAUCGACUUAUGCAGUUAUGCCCCUACUUUAUUAUUUAUUCUUGCUUUUUUAAUCUGCGGUGCUCCUGCUAGGAGUUCUAAAUGUACAUAUACAUUAUCUACCUGUUUAGAUGGGUAUACUUGUUGACGUUUGGAGAUGUAUGUAGAUUGUUUAAUAUUAUAUAGACUGGUAGACUAGUUUUUUCUUGGUUUGACAUUGUAACAUUUUCUUUAGUCUUUUUGGUUAUCUGUGAAACGUAUCCAAAUUAGGAGUAUGCAAAAUAAGUCAGUUCAAGCAUAAUAUUGUAAUCUUCUAUGCAAAAUAAGUCAUUUUGGUUUACUGUUUACCCUGGAGAAAUCAUCCAGUCAAUGUGACUUGGUUUCUAAAACACGAGUAUCAGGAUUGAAAAUACUCUUCAGAAUUGCGAUUCAACCAGUAUCUGUUUUCUGAUUUGUAUGUAUGCAGGUUGAUGUUCAAUCAGAAGCUGUAUAUACGUUUGGCCUUCUGAUUUGUUAAGCAGCAUGAUGAAGUUGCACGUUAUUGCAACAUGCCUUUGUAUUAUGAGGUAGUUGUAUGAUUACAAAAGUGGAAAAUGUCAUUUCUUCGUUUAUAUUUGUGACUAAUUGUCCUCUUAACAAAGAGAUUGUGGCACUUGAAAAGAAUGGAGGAGGGAACUAGAAAAGAGGAGUGUGUGUACACACUUUUGGAUGAUUGCCAUUGUUCAUAAUAACAUACACUACUAGUAUUGUACUGGUGUGAAAUGGCAGUUUAUGGCAGUAUACAAUGGUUUUUAGGUCUUUCUGGAAGUAGUGUACGAGAGGGAAGAGUGGGUGUUCGGUAGCAUGAGUAUAAGAAUCUACAGAGAUAAGAGGUAUAUAUAAGGGGUGGAGAUGAGAAAAUGGGAGAAGGAUGUAACCUUAUCGCAACGUUCCAGAACAUGAAGGAUCUAUAGCCGUAACAAAAUUGAAGGGAUAGUUUUAUUGGUGUUAUGUACGUGAACGUGAUAUCGAAAAAUACAUAUUACAUGUUCAGUGGCGUUGUUAUAA
This is an RNA transcript of Erigeron canadensis, 3233 nucleotides long. RefSeq lists it as uncharacterized. The record is from RefSeq and is a predicted model, not a curated record. The transcript has 5 exons. NCBI's taxonomy places the organism in Eukaryota, Viridiplantae, Streptophyta, Magnoliopsida, Asterales, Asteraceae.